CCAUGCCCCAUCCCGGCCCAUCCCGGUAACUUCGGGACGGUGCCGCUGCGAUCCCGAUUGAUCGGUUCGGGUUUCUCCAUCUCAGGCAGCCUCAGGUUUAAUGUGAAAAGCUGCGAGGUUUGCUCGGCUGGUGAUCAGCUGUUCUGGAUGAAAAAGCUCCCGGAAGGUGCCAGCCCGUACUUCAUCUGAAGAAGAAAAUGAAAUUGUAAGAAUGUGGUCCCCAGGAUGAGGUGAGAGAUGAGAAUCUGACUCCAUGUUCUCAGAAGGAGGGAAGCGAUCAGGCUCCUGCUUUGAAUCCAAACUGAAGAAAAGCAGAAUCUGAAUGGCAAAAAUGUCAUGAUCAACAAACCCAAAAGUUAAAUAAUGAAGCAAAGAGAAGUUGUACACACCACAUGUACCAGCCGUUAAACUGCUGGGGAUCCUCUUGUUCCUAUGUUUGUAACACCUGUGACAGAAUCUGGCAUCCUGUGUCACAAGAAAAUUGACUUCAUGCUACCUAGUGGUAGCUUGAGGUGCAAAGGGCCACUUUGUGCCAGUGGAGACUGGUGGCACACCACGGUGGUAUGAGGAAAAGAAUCUCAUCUCCAUUUUUCAGGUUUAUUUCUAUACUGACCUACCACCGUCGGUUCCAAGUCCACCAUUACAGCCCGUGGCACGUGCUUCCCAGUGGCUGUUUCGUUGAAAAAUGUGGUAAAAGAGUCAUCAGAGCUGAGUUUGUCCUGCUGGUCCUUGAAGGUGCCAUCAGGCUGAAUGCCAUGCUCCAGGCAGAAGAGUUCCCAGCACGUGUUUCCUAUCUGCACUCCAGCCUGGCCAACGUGAACAGAGAUGCACUCACGCUGAGGAGAGAGAGGAGACAGGGUCAGAAAAAUCAGUGUACCUUAGCCCUCCCUAUUCCUGAUGGUUACCUCUUCCCAGUGUAUUGCUUUUCCAAAAAAUCAGUGCAUUGUCACUGUCAGCUGUUUGUUUGGUUGUUCAGCCCCAUGAGCACCAUGAGACUGCACAUGCCAGAUACUGGGACAGUGUGGUAUUUUCAGGGCUCCCCGAUGAAGGGAGGAAAUGAUGAAUCCGACUCCAUGUUCUUAGAAGGCUAAUUUAUUAUUUUAUGAUAUGAUAUUAUAUUAUAUUAAAGAAUGCUAUACUAAACUAUACUAAAGAAUAGAGAAAGGAUACUUACAGAAGGCUAAACAAGAUACUAAUUAAAAACUCGUAGCUCUCUCCUCACAGUCCAACACAGCCUAACUGUGAUUGGUCAUUAAGUCAAAACAAUCCACAUAUUGCAUAAACAAUCUCCAACCACAUUCCAAAGCAGCAAAACAGAAGCAAAGGUGAUAAUAUUGUUUCCCUUUUUCUCUGAGGCUUCUCAGCUUCCCAGGAGAAGAAUCCUGAGCAAAGAGGAUUUUUCAGAAAAUAUGACGGUGGCACGACAGCUCUUUAAAAAAUUGAGAUCUGUGUGCUGUACUACAGAAGUAUAUUGAAACAGUCAGGAAAAAUGUAUUUCAAUUACACAAACCCCACCAUUCUUCCUGGAUUUGCCUUGCUGAGGAGCACAUCCCAGUUUAGUUUAUUUUUACUCCUGGCUGGAACCUGACACAGCCAUGUGGCAUCCCUCACCCUUAUGUAACCCAAGGCAGAUUGUCUUUUGAUCCUUCUACCCUCUGAUAGCAGGCUAGAGUGGAAAUUUGGAAGAGCUGCUUUCACCUAAGGAAAUUAUUCCAGAUUUUCUUGGUCAAAAUAAAAUUUCCUUCCAGCUUCUGAGCAGCCACUAAUUUUACUAAUUUUACUAAUUUUACAUCAUGGGUCCAUUGCUGGUCAGGCAGUGCCAUUGUAGUGAAGUAUAUUUGCAUCAUUUCCAGUAUUGUUUCUGUGGCAGCCAGGAAGAGAAAACUGUGUAACACCAGCCUAAAGUAGGCAGGUGUCAAUUGCUCCAAAAUCCUGUGCACUCAAAAGUACUGCUUUUAAAAAGCCCUGCUGCUGGAUUUCAUAAGUUCACAAACAAUCAUAAAGCAAAUGCUUCUGGGUUAGUCCCAGCAGUUGCAACACUGGGUGUAGUGAAAGGCAUUUUUUUGAGGAGAGAGUGGUUUCAGGCAUGUGGAUUUUUUUCAGAUUUGGUUUCUGCUUUGGAGCAAUUAAAGCUGCCUGAGCUCUGGUUUUGUGAUCCCCAGGGCCCUGUCUAUACUAGGGAGUAAAAAAAAGUCAGGACAUAGUACUGAACACUGGCCAGUGAUCUCCUGUGCUGCUUGAUAAUUCCAAAAAAUUGGCAGAAUUUUGGCUUAGGCCAGUUAAAAUUUUUCCAGACAAUGCUUGGGCACCAUGCAGAACACAACUCAUUGUCAAGAAUGGUUUCCAGUGAGCAGCUCACUGACCACUGCCAGGCUUUGGAGAGGGAAGGAGAACUGAGAUGCCCAGCUGUGAAGCAGGCCUGGCUUUAAGGGCAGAGGAUGGUCCUCACUCAUUCUUGUUUUGUAAUAUUGCAUUUAGAGAUAACCAGUGGCACUGUCAGAUUUGACCAGUUAUUUUUUUUUUUUAAUUAAAUUCUGUAACUGCUUACCCAGCAAAAUCAUUCUGUGAUCUGAGAAUUAAAUGUAUCCUUCCCAAAAACUAAAUUUUCAGUCACAAUGUGUGACCAGCAGCAUCUCUGGAGCAGUGUUUUCUUCACAAAUUGACAUAAAUUUGUGUUUAAGAAACAUAACUGAAGACAUUUUUUCAGAAGCAACUAGAAUUUCAAAAGUCAUCACUGCCCAACUAGUCAUCCCCAGAAUUCAAAUAAACAUGAAAGCUCUUUAAAUCUUUUAUUCAAUGCAAUAAAUUAUUUCUAUUCAGUCCUAAUUUCUAAACUGAAAGUUUUUGCUGACUCUGCAAAUGCAUGUGCUCUCAAGUGUACUUGCACAAUCCUAUUUUUGCUGUGCAUAACUGAGUUGUGCAAAAGUCUCUGAGUGAUUUGAGUGACAGUGGGGCUUCAAAAGUCAGCGUGUUGCAAUCUGGAAGAUUACUCAGGAGACACCAAAGGCAUAUUUGGGCUUAGAGAAUUCAAUCAAUGCUGACUUUCCACAGGGCAGGCUCCUGCCUUUUCUUUCAAAUCCCACUGUGAAUCUGUGAGGCUGGCAGGCAGCAAGAAAAAUAAGGGUUUCUUUUCUUUUCCAACACAGCAAUGAGGCCAGCUGGCUUUUUAAAACAAUAUCUUUUAAAGCAAAACUACAAUUACAAGUCAAGCAGUAUUUUAAAAUAAGGGCUGCUUUGCUCAUUUCUUCAGGUCUGUAGAGGAAUUGGUCUGUUUUUUCACAGAUAGAACAAGUAAAUGCUGUCUUAAGAAGUUAAGAUUGUAAAGCUUCAUAUAGGACUGGGGUUGAAGACUUUUCAGACUGAGUCUUCAGCUGCACUAGUUUGAAACCACAUCUCAACCCUGCUUUUUGAGCCAUUUCAUCUCCUCCUUCCCCAGCAGUAAUUUGGAAAUAUUCUGCCAAAGAGAGAAGACAGUGAGAAAGAGGUUUCUGACUUUGAAUAGUGAACAGCAUUAAAACAGAUGCCAGACUUUUAGCAGGGAAGAGCGUGGGCCUUCAGCGUCACAGCCAGAGUAAACUGAUCUUUACGUGAUAUUUUAAUUUGGAGCCAUUUCCAAACUCAUGUUUCACAUCCCACCAUUUAAAUGUCUGUAGACCCAGGACAGGUCUAACAAAGAAACAGUAGAAAGGACCAGAUCCUUUGUGAAACUACACCUGGGACAGCUUUGACUCUUAAAAAACCAAUCUCUCUCCAGGAUUUACUGCAAAAGGGAGACUUUAGUCUUCCAGCUGUUCCACAAACUCUCUCACUUCCCUAGGUCUGGGAAGCCCCUGGAAGUAUUUUGCCUAUGAGAUGAGCUGGCAGACAGUAACAUAGUUCCUCCUCUGCACCAAAAUUAGACUCAGUGCUAGAGAUAUAAUGGGGUCCAAGGUGAAAUGGAUUUUUUCACAUUUUAAGAGGUUUUGAGAUAUUUCUAUGAAUUUAUAACAAUCCACCAAAACUUAAAAACAAAGGGCACUUUUUCACUUACUAAAUACAUACAUAUAUAAAAGAAUUCAUGGACUCCAGAAACACACAUGCAUACCCUGUAUAGAUAUGGACAGUAUAGCCAUUGGGGCUAAAUUAAUUUGAAACAGACACAAAGGUAAAUAACUUUUUUGGUUUAUUUCUAAAAAUAAAAUUGUCUCGUAUGAAAA
Haemorhous mexicanus (house finch) is the source of this 4196-nucleotide long non-coding RNA. RefSeq lists it as uncharacterized. The record is from RefSeq and is a predicted model, not a curated record. NCBI's taxonomy places the organism in Eukaryota, Metazoa, Chordata, Aves, Passeriformes, Fringillidae. The transcript is spliced from 3 exons.